ACUGCCUCUAGAUGCAUAUCAGGUGUGGAUGAUGUGUUACAAGUGCAUCAGUAGAUGGCAGUGGCAGAGAGAGGCUGUGUCUACACCCAGCGUUCUGACCUGUGGACAUCUGAAUAAUUACUAGCCUAGCAUU
Small nucleolar RNA from Psammomys obesus (fat sand rat), 133 nucleotides. RefSeq annotates it as small nucleolar RNA SNORA17. The transcript has a single exon. The record is from RefSeq and is a predicted model, not a curated record. NCBI's taxonomy places the organism in Eukaryota, Metazoa, Chordata, Mammalia, Rodentia, Muridae.